GAUGAACGCUGGCGGCGUGCCUAAUACAUGCAAGUCGAGCGAACAGACGAGGAGCUUGCUCCUCUGACGUUAGCGGCGGACGGGUGAGUAACACGUGGAUAACCUACCUAUAAGACUGGGAUAACUUCGGGAAACCGGAGCUAAUACCGGAUAAUAUAUUGAACCGCAUGGUUCAAUAGUGAAAGACGGUUUUGCUGUCACUUAUAGAUGGAUCCGCGCCGCAUUAGCUAGUUGGUAAGGUAACGGCUUACCAAGGCAACGAUGCGUAGCCGACCUGAGAGGGUGAUCGGCCACACUGGAACUGAGACACGGUCCAGACUCCAACGGGAGGCAGCAGUAGGGAAUCUUCCGCAAGGGGCGAAAGCCUGACGGAGCAACGCCGCGUGAGUGAUGAAGGUCUUCGGAUCGUAAAACUCUGUUAUUAGGGAAGAACAAAUGUGUAAGUAACUAUGCACGUCUUGACGGUACCUAAUCAGAAAGCCACGGCUAACUACGUG
Molecule: ribosomal RNA, 497 nt
Filed under: uncultured bacterium
Lineage: Bacteria
Description: partial 16S ribosomal RNA
Rfam family: Bacterial small subunit ribosomal RNA
Source: RNAcentral